Molecule: unclassified non-coding RNA, 180 nt
Filed under: uncultured Ascomycota
Lineage: Eukaryota; Fungi; Ascomycota
Description: sequence contains ITS1
Source: RNAcentral
UCCAUCCAAAACCAGCUGCGGUCGCGGCCCCACGCUUACCCGUGGUGGUGCGCGCCGCACGUCUGCACCCUUUUUUUACGAGCACCUUCGUUCUCCCUCGGCAGGGCAACCUGCCGUUGGAAUCAAACAAAACCUUUUUUUUGCAUCUAGCAUUACCUGUUCUGAUACAAACAAUCGUUA